Long non-coding RNA from Dreissena polymorpha, 402 nucleotides. RefSeq lists it as uncharacterized. The transcript has 3 exons. The record is from RefSeq and is a predicted model, not a curated record. Lineage: Eukaryota; Metazoa; Mollusca; Bivalvia; Myida; Dreissenidae.
GAAACACAUACUAAUAGAAAGAACAGAAAGGGAACAGGCAACAAAAGGCCCAUAUGUUAUCAAAGAGGAACAACAAAAUGGAUUUGUUGAAAUAACUUAUUUCAUGACACAAGAGACUUGCAGUGGCAAAACCAUAAAACACUUCGUGCUGUCUUCGUGGAAAGGAGUGGAUAUACCGACAGACAGGAAAACACUGCUUGAGAUGAUAGAGGCGGUGCACACUUGGCAGCCCGAAAUGACAGACGACACACCGAUAUUGAUACUAGACAAUUGCGGCUUUCAGAAAUGCGGAGUCGUUGCUGUUUUAUUGAACGAGAUCUAUCGCAUAUUACAACAGAAUGGGCGGAUCAACAUUUUACAAUCAGUCAAGACAAUGAUGUACGGAAAAAGCCUCCUCAUCCG